Molecule: ribosomal RNA, 1489 nt
Filed under: Lactiplantibacillus plantarum
Lineage: Bacteria; Bacillati; Bacillota; Bacilli; Lactobacillales; Lactobacillaceae
Description: bacterial SSU rRNA
Rfam family: Bacterial small subunit ribosomal RNA
Source: RNAcentral
GACGAACGCUGGCGGCGUGCCUAAUACAUGCAAGUCGAACGAACUCUGGUAUUGAUUGGUGCUUGCAUCAUGAUUUACAUUUGAGUGAGUGGCGAACUGGUGAGUAACACGUGGGAAACCUGCCCAGAAGCGGGGGAUAACACCUGGAAACAGAUGCUAAUACCGCAUAACAACUUGGACCGCAUGGUCCGAGUUUGAAAGAUGGCUUCGGCUAUCACUUUUGGAUGGUCCCGCGGCGUAUUAGCUAGAUGGUGGGGUAACGGCUCACCAUGGCAAUGAUACGUAGCCGACCUGAGAGGGUAAUCGGCCACAUUGGGACUGAGACACGGCCCAAACUCCUACGGGAGGCAGCAGUAGGGAAUCUUCCACAAUGGACGAAAGUCUGAUGGAGCAACGCCGCGUGAGUGAAGAAGGGUUUCGGCUCGUAAAACUCUGUUGUUAAAGAAGAACAUAUCUGAGAGUAACUGUUCAGGUAUUGACGGUAUUUAACCAGAAAGCCACGGCUAACUACGUGCCAGCAGCCGCGGUAAUACGUAGGUGGCAAGCGUUGUCCGGAUUUAUUGGGCGUAAAGCGAGCGCAGGCGGUUUUUUAAGUCUGAUGUGAAAGCCUUCGGCUCAACCGAAGAAGUGCAUCGGAAACUGGGAAACUUGAGUGCGGAAGAGGACAGUGGAACUCCAUGUGUAGCGGUGAAAUGCGUAGAUAUAUGGAAGAACACCAGUGGCGAAGGCGGCUGUCUGGUCUGUAACUGACGCUGAGGCUCGAAAGUAUGGGUAGCAAACAGGAUUAGAUACCCUGGUAGUCCAUACCGUAAACGAUGAAUGCUAAGUGUUGGAGGGUUUCCGCCCUUCAGUGCUGCAGCUAACGCAUUAAGCAUUCCGCCUGGGGAGUACGGCCGCAAGGCUGAAACUCAAAGGAAUUGACGGGGGCCCGCACAAGCGGUGGAGCAUGUGGUUUAAUUCGAAGCUACGCGAAGAACCUUACCAGGUCUUGACAUACUAUGCAAAUCUAAGAGAUUAGACGUUCCCUUCGGGGACAUGGAUACAGGUGGUGCAUGGUUGUCGUCAGCUCGUGUCGUGAGAUGUUGGGUUAAGUCCCGCAACGAGCGCAACCCUUAUUAUCAGUUGCCAGCAUUAAGUUGGGCACUCUGGUGAGACUGCCGGUGACAAACCGGAGGAAGGUGGGGAUGACGUCAAAUCAUCAUGCCCCUUAUGACCUGGGCUACACACGUGCUACAAUGGAUGGUACAACGAGUUGCGAACUCGCGAGAGUAAGCUAAUCUCUUAAAGCCAUUCUCAGUUCGGAUUGUAGGCUGCAACUCGCCUACAUGAAGUCGGAAUCGCUAGUAAUCGCGGAUCAGCAUGCCGCGGUGAAUACGUUCCCGGGCCUUGUACACACCGCCCGUCACACCAUGAGAGUUUGUAACACCCAAAGUCGGUGGGGUAACCUUUUAGGAACCAGCCGCCUAAGGUGGGACAGAUGAUUAGGGUG